AUUGAACGCUGGCGGCAGGCUUAACACAUGCAAGUCGAACGAUGAAGAUAUAGCUUGCUAUAUCGGAUUAGUGGCGGACGGGUGAGUAACACUUAGGAAUCUACCUUUUAGCGGGGGAUAGCUCGGGGAAACUCGAAUUAAUACCGCAUAAUUUCUACGGAAUAAAGAGGGCUUUUAGCUCUCACUAGAAGAUGAGCCUAAGUAAGAUUAGCUAGUUGGUGGGGUAAAAGCCUACCAAGGCGACGAUCUUUAGCUGGUCUGAGAGGAUGAUCAGCCACACUGGGACUGAGACACGGCCCAGACUCCUACGGGAGGCAGCAGUGGGGAAUAUUGGACAAUGGGGGCAACCCUGAUCCAGCCAUGCCGCGUGUGUGAAGAAGGCCUUUUGGUUGUAAAGCACUUUAAGCAGUGAAGAAGACCUAUUGGUUAAUACCCAAUAGCGAUGACAUUAACUGCAGAAUAAGCACCGGCUAACUCUGUGCCAGCAGCCGCGGUAAUACAGAGGGUGCAAGCGUUAAUCGGAAUUACUGGGCGUAAAGCGAGCGUAGGUGGUUAAAUAAGUCAGAUGUGAAAGCCCUGGGCUCAACCUAGGAACGGCAUCUGAAACUAUUUAACUAGAGUAGGUGAGAGGGAAGUAGAAUUUCAGGUGUAGCGGUGAAAUGCGUAGAGAUCUGAAGGAAUACCGAUGGCGAAGGCAGCUUCCUGGCAUCAUACUGACACUGAGGCUCGGAAGCGUGGGUAGCAAACAGG
Molecule: ribosomal RNA, 750 nt
Filed under: uncultured bacterium
Lineage: Bacteria
Description: bacterial SSU rRNA
Rfam family: Bacterial small subunit ribosomal RNA
Source: RNAcentral